Molecule: ribosomal RNA, 437 nt
Filed under: uncultured Pseudoflavonifractor sp.
Lineage: Bacteria; Bacillati; Bacillota; Clostridia; Eubacteriales; Oscillospiraceae
Description: partial 16S ribosomal RNA
Rfam family: Bacterial small subunit ribosomal RNA
Source: RNAcentral
ACGGAAGGCAGCAGUGGGGAAUAUUGGGCAAUGGGGGAAACCCUGACCCAGCAACGCCGCGUGAAGGAAGAAGGCUUUCGGGUUGUAAACUUCUUUUACCAGGGACGAAGGACGUGACGGUACCUGGAGAAAAAGCCACGGCUAACUACGUGCCAGCAGCCGCGGUAAUACGUAGGUGGCAAGCGUUGUCCGGAUUUACUGGGUGUAAAGGGCGUGUAGGCGGAGCAGCAAGUCAGAUGUGAAAGCACGAGGCUCAACUUCGUGUCUGCAUUUGAAACUGCUGUUCUUGAGUGCUGGAGAGGCUAACGGAACUCCUAGUGUAGCGGUGAAAUGCGUAGAUAUUAGGAAGAACACCAGUGGCGAAGGCGGUUAGCUGGACAGUAACUGACGCUGAGGCGCGAAAGCGUGGGUAGCAAACAGGAUUAGAUACCCUGGUA